This 521-nucleotide ribosomal RNA is filed under the name uncultured bacterium. RNAcentral describes it as "bacterial SSU rRNA". It matches the Rfam family "Archaeal small subunit ribosomal RNA", at positions 345 to 866 of the family's 1478-position model. The record is from RNAcentral.
AACCUCCGCAAUGUGAGAAAUCGCGACGGGGGGAUCCCAAGUGCCAUUCUUAACGGGAUGGCUUUUCAUUAGUGUAAAGAGCUUUUGGAAUAAGAGCUGGGCAAGACCGGUGCCAGCCGCCGCGGUAACACCGGCAGCUCUAGUGGUAACAAUUUUUAUUGGGCCUAAAGCGUCCGUAGCCGGUUUAAUAAGUCUCUGGUGAAAUCCUGUAGCUUAACUGUGGGAAUUGCUGGAGAUACUAUUAGACUUGAGACCGGGAGAGGUUAGAGGUACUCCCAGGGUAGAGGUGAAAUUCUGUAAUCCUGGGAGGACCGCCUGUUGCGAAGGCGUCUAACUGGAACGGUUCUGACGGUGAGGGACGAAAGUUAGGGGCGCGAACCGGAUUAGAUACCCGGGUAGUCCUAACUGUAAACGAUGCGGACUUGGUGUUGGGGUGGCUUUGAGCUGCUCCAGUGCCGAAGGGAAGCUGUUAAGUCCGCCGCCUGGGAAGUACGGUCGCAAGACUGAAACUUAAGGAAAUU